Molecule: long non-coding RNA, 791 nt
Organism: Danaus plexippus (monarch butterfly)
Lineage: Eukaryota; Metazoa; Arthropoda; Insecta; Lepidoptera; Nymphalidae
Exons: 2
Source: RefSeq, a predicted model, not a curated record
AUUAUUAAAAACUUGUUAAUUCUUACUAAUAUAACUUAAUUUCAAAGCUUCUUAGUUAUCUAUUAUUAUUACUUAUAUUUUACCUUUUUCUUACUUUACUGCUUUGGUAACGAUAUUAAACGGAUUAUAACAAGUAUCGUAUUUAUAAAAAUAAUAGAUCUCCUACAUUUAAUCAAGCAAAAUAAACCGGAUUUUCCCAAUUUUAUUGAUCAGUGACGCUUUGUACUAUGUAAAGAGUCAAAAAGUAUCGAACAGAGUUUCACAGUCGGUCUUAACAUGAUCGCGCUUUUAGACCUUGCAAUACUCAGUAGAUAAGCAUGAAGUCGUAGUUAGUUAACACACUAUCUCGGUACCAGUCUAUUCAGUGGGUUUUCUUACACAGACUCAGGCAAACGGUUCCAAUCCCUCAUGAUGACCAUGAGGAAGGAUAAAGCCUAUCACUUCGUUCGGAUGCGAGGAAGGUCAAAACAGAAAGGAUGAAGAAGUUUAAUCAUUCGAAGGUCAGUAAAGAAGAUUGGUCGUCCGAUGGUAAAAUGAGGAUUGAAGAAUAAAAUUGUGUAAUUCCUCUGCAAGCUCUUGAAAGUGUUUGGUAUAAUUUAUUCGAAACCUGGAUAUUUCUCAGCUUUCAACUCAAAGAAACGUUCAAAGUUUUAAGGUUAUAAGAUGCGUCAAGACCUAAUAAUCGAAGGUGAUCGGAGUAUUCACAGCAUACAUUCCGCAAAGUUGGAGUUAAGUUCUGGUGUUAUUUAUUCCUUUAUAUGUGCAUAUUAAAUGUUAUCCAUAUUCUAAAA